GUAGGAGAGAGAUGGAAGGCGUGGCUCCGGGAGCGCGAGGCUCAACGCUUGCUUCGCUUGUGGUUGCGGUUUGGCCUGAGUCGGGAGCCGUAGCUGGAGCCGCCGGGCGGAUGUUAUGUGAGGCGCCGAGGCGAAGGGAUCACCUGACUGUUCACUGAGAAAUGAAGAAUGACGUCAAAAGGGGCAGGCACAUCUUUCUCCCAAAAGAGUUACAGACUGGCCUCUGAUUCUGAGAAGCCCAAAGUCACAGGUAUUGUCAACGAAAAGUUACUGAAUGACUACCUACAGCGUAUCUUUCCCAGCCCAGACCAGAUCCCCUCCACCACAGCUACCAGAAAACCUCUGACUUUUCAGAACCUUCAGGAACAUCUGGACCAGCUGCUGAAGGAGGAGGAUGAGGCUGAAGAGAGUGAAGAACAGCCUGUAGAAGGGCGGCUUGGGCCAUCCACUGUGGUCCUGGAUCACACAAGCGGCUUCGAAGGGCUACUCCUGGUGGAUGAUGACCUUCUUGGUGUUAUUGGACACAGUAACUUUGGUUCCAUUCGGGCCACCACCUGUGUGUAUAAAGGGAAAUGGAUCUAUGAGGUGCUCAUCUCCUCCCAGGGGCUCAUGCAAAUCGGCUGGUGCACCCUCAAUUGCCGAUUCAACCAGGAGGAAGGAGUUGGAGACACACCUGACUCUUAUGCUUAUGAUGGUAACAGAGUGCGUAAGUGGAAUGUGACCACAACUAAUUAUGGCAAAUCAUGGGCAGCUGGAGACAUUGUGAGUUGCCUAAUUGACCUGGAUGAGGGAACCAUUGCUUUUUGUCUGAAUGGUGUCUCUCUGGGAACUGCUUUUGACAACAUCACCAGGGGCUCUGGAAUGGCCUAUUUUCCAGCUAUCAGCCUCUCUUUCAAAGAGUCUGUUGCAUUCAACUUUGGUAGCCGGCCACUGCGAUAUCCAAUGGAGGGUUAUCGACCCCUACAAGAUGCCCCUACGACUGGCCUGCUCAAGGCUCAUAAGCUUCUUGGUUACCUGAAGAAUGUCCUGCAGUUGGAGUUGGACCCAGUGGAAGGGAAGCUGGUGGAGAGGGAAAGUUCGACAUGGCAGCUUCGGGGAGAACCCACAGUGUUGAUCACCAUGGCCCACAUCUUCAACUACUUUGCGCCUCUCAUGUGCAAAGUGUACCUAGUGGAAGAUGUUCUCAUGAAGUUUCUCCUGAGCGUCCUGGAGAAAGAUGGGUCCGUGGAGUCUUGCCCCCUCAUCCAGCAGCUCCUGGAUCUUAUGUGGCUACUCAUGGAGGAUUAUGAGGUACAGGAGUGCCUCAAGCAGCUGAUGAUGUCGCUACUCCGUGCCUACAGAUUCUCCCCCAUCAUCCCAGACCUGAGCUUACAGAUGCACUACCUUCGUCUUACCAUUGCUAUCUUGAAGCAUGAGAAGUCCAGGAAGUUUCUGCUUAACAAUGUCCUCUUUGAUGUGCUUCGCUCUGUGGUUUUCUUCUACAUCAAGAGUCCAUUGCGAGUGGAGGAGGCCGGCCUUCAGGAGCUCAUCCCCACCACGUGGUGGCCCAAUCGCUUCAAUAAAGAGGGCAAGGAGACUAAGGAGGUGAAGGAAGAGAGUGCUGAGGAGCGGCUGAGACGGCGGGCAUAUGAGCGAGGUUGCCAAAGACUCAAGAAACGAAUUGAAGUGGUAGAAGAUCUCCAGGUUCAGAUCCUAAAGUUGCUGUUGAAUAAUCAAGACCAUAAUGGGGGUGAAGCUUCCAGGUACAUUUUCCUCAACAAGUUUCGAAAAUUCCUGCAAGAGAAUGCCAGCAGCCGAGGGAACCUAACUGUUCUCUGCCCGCCGGAGUACAUGGUGUGCUUUCUGCACCGGCUGAUCACAGCCUUGCGGCACUACUGGGAUGGAUACAAGGCUUCAAACCCAGCAGCAUCAUUCAGUGAAGAAGCCUACGUCCCCCCACAACUCUUCUAUAAUGGAAAGGUGGAUUACUUUGACCUGCAGCGACUAGGGGGCCUUCUGUCUCAUCUUAAGAAAACCCUCAAAGAUGACCUGGCAUCGAAGGCAAACAUCUUGAUCGACCCCUCAGAGCUGCAAGCCAUCACCAUGGAUGACCUUGAUGAGGAUGAUGAGUCAGCUGCAGCAACUGCACAGCGCCCUGUGGCUGCUCUAGCUAUUGGAGGGGCCCUGGCCAGGCCUAGUUGGCUUAGCUCCCCAACACUGAGCAGGGCCAACCGCUUCCUCAGCACAGCAGCCGUGAGCCUCAUGAACCCCCGCAGGCCCUUGGGCACCAUGGAAAAAGUGAAAAUCCGAACACUGAACGUGGAGCAGAGAACAGAGGAGGAUAUUGAAGGGAGCCAUGGGAAUGAAGGCCUAUUAUUGGGGAGGCCCCCAGAGGAACCAGAUCAGCCCCUUACGGAGAACUCUCUACUAGAGAUUCUGGAUGGGGUCAUCAUGAUGUACAACCUGAGUGUUCACCAGCAGCUGGGCAAGAUGGUGGGUGUUUCUGAUGACGUGAAUGAGUAUGCCCUGGCCUUGAAAGACACAGAGGAGAAGCUCAGCCGGUGUCCAAAGUGGAGGAGAGACAUUCAGGAAGAACUGAUGAAAAGUCAGAAGGUUUUCUCUGAGAAACUGAAUCAUUUGAGUCGCCGUCUUGCCUGGAUCAAUGUCACCAUCUACUCUAAGGAGAAGAUGCAGGAUAUUUACUGGCUCCUCCGGGUUUGUAUCCGCACCAUAGAGCAUGGGGACCGCACAGGCUCCCUCUUCGCCUUUAUGCCAGAAUUCUACCUAAGUGUCGCCAUGAACAGCUACAGCGCCCUUAAAAAUUACUUCAGCCCUGUCAAUAGCAUGGAGGAGCUGCCAGGUUACGAGGAGACCCUGACCCGCCUUGCUGCGAUUCUAGCCAAACACUUUGCAGACACAAGAAUUGUGGGCACAGACAUCCGAGAUUCACUGAUGCAAGCGCUGGCCAGUUACGUCUGUUAUCCCCACUCUCUGCGUGCUGUGGAGAGGAUACGUGAGGAGCAACGGAUCACCAUGAUGAAGAACCUCCUUGCUCCUUACGAGCAGCGUCCCUGGGCACAGACAAAUUGGAUCCUUGUGCGGCUGUGGCGGGGCUGUGGAUUUGGAUAUCGCUACACUCGGCUGCCUCAUCUGCUGAAAACAAAGCCCGAGGAUGCCAACCUCCCCAGCCUGCAGAAGCCCUGCCCCUCUACCUUACUGCAGGGCCACAUGGCUGACCUGCUACGGAGUGACCGUGACAUGGCCCCUAGCUUCCUCAACAGUGUCCUUAACCAGCUCAACUGGGCCUUCUCUGAGUUCAUUGGCAUGAUCCAGGAGAUUCAGCAAGCAGCCGAGCGCCUGGAAAGGAACUUUGUGGACAGUCGUCAGCUGAAGGUGUGCGCCACCUGCUUUGACCUGUCAGUGAGCCUGCUGCGGGUGCUGGAGAUGACUGUCACCCUGGCCCCUGAGAUCUUCCUGGACUGGAAUCGGCCCUCCUCUGAGCUGCUGCUCCGGCGGCUGGCACAGCUACUAAACCAGGUCCUGAACCGUGUGACAGCAGAGAGAAACUUGUUUGACCGCGUGGUUAAUCUCCGGCUGCCGGGCUUGGAGAGUGUGGACCACUACCCAAUUCUUGUGGCUGUGACUGGCAUUCUAGUCCGUCUCCUAGUGGACAGUGAUGUGGAGGGGGCCACACGAGCCACCGAAGUGCUCUUAGCAGACCCAUGCUUCCAGCUCCGCUCCAUCCAGUACCUCCUGGGCCAGCCAGAACCCGUGGCCCCUGGGGCCACACCACCCCCUCCCGAGAGGAAGCACUUCUCCCUGCAGAGCUACACUGAUUACAUCAGCCGGGAGGAAUUAGCUAAAGUGGAUCAGAUGUUGGGCCAUCUGAGUGAGGAGUCCAAGCAGGCAGCCGCCUCUACCCUGCCCACCAGUGAAGAGGACCUGUGCCCCAUCUGUUAUGCCCACCCCAUCUCUGCUGUGUUCCAGCCCUGUGGCCACAAGUCUUGCAAAGCCUGCAUCAACCAGCAUCUGAUGAACAACAAAGACUGUUUCUUCUGCAAAGCAACAAUCACUGGGGUGGAUGACUACGAGAAGCCAGCUUCCUCAUCUUAGGCCCCCUAUCUCAGGGUGGGGGCCCUCAACCUGCUCCUUGGGCUCCAGGGGUCCUGCUGUUCACCCAUUCCCUAUCACAUCCCUUGCUCACCCACUGGCCCACACGGGAGCUCCAGCCCACAAUGCAGGAAUCGAGCCAUGAGUGAGAACGGAUAUGGGCGCCUCGCAGCACUGUGCAUCGCUUGAUACACACGCCAUCCUCUACCACCACACCAGGGCCCAGGCUGACGUUGGGCCCGAUGCUACAGUUCUGGCCGAUCCUAGCGCUUGGAUCCUGGGGGGAGGAGAAGCAUGCACAGGGCUGAUUUAAAGGUUCAAGGGCUCCUCCCUGCAAGGUUACCUCCCUGGAGUCUGAAAAACCUACUAUUAGGAAUUAAUUCAACAAACAUUUAUUAAAUGCCUACUGUGCUCCGCUUUUGGGAUACAGUGAUGAAAAAUUGAAGGUCCCUGCCCUCGAGCAGCUUGUACAAUCUACUGGGCACCAGGAUGGCCUGGGUGAAUGUCCAGAGGUAGGAAAUGAGGAGGGGGACAGCUAGGAGUCUUGUCUGGCUGGAAAACAAAAUGCAUGAAGUGAAAGCCACAUACACUAAAACCAGUGUGGCAGGCUGCAGCUACACUGUGGGAGCCUUGAAUGCCAAGCUAAUGAAUUUGUACUUAGCCACUGAAAGUCGGUCAGACCUGCGCAUAAGCCAUGCAAUAGGUUCAUACAAUAGAGUGGAGAAUGGAGAGGCAAGAGGAAGGGAAACCAACUGGGACACAGAUCAUCCCAGUAGUGGAGGUGAUGAGGCCCUGGACCACAGGGGUAGUAGUAUAGAAGCAGCAAGGAGCAAAGAUUGUGGAGGCAGAAUCAUCAGAAUGCCCAGGAGUUCAAUAAUAAAAUACAUUAAGCCUUACUGAUCAUUUAUACCUAA
Phascolarctos cinereus (koala) is the source of this 5003-nucleotide non-coding RNA. NCBI's taxonomy places the organism in Eukaryota, Metazoa, Chordata, Mammalia, Diprotodontia, Phascolarctidae. The record is from RefSeq and is a predicted model, not a curated record.